RNAcentral lists this ribosomal RNA (362 nucleotides) under uncultured bacterium. Its description in RNAcentral is "bacterial SSU rRNA". It matches the Rfam family "Bacterial small subunit ribosomal RNA", at positions 29 to 416 of the family's 1533-position model. The record is from RNAcentral.
AACGAACGCUGGCGGCAGGCCUCAAACAUGCAAGUCUAGGGGGUGUAGCGAUACAUCACCGGCGGACGGGUGCGUAACGCGUGGGAAUAUACCUAUCGAUUCGGAACAACUGAGGGAAACUUCAGCUAAUACCGAAUACGUCCUAACGGAGAAAGAUUUAUCGUCGAUAGAUUAGCCCGCGUUCGAUUAGCUAGUUGGUGGGGUAACGGCCCACCAAGGCGACGAUCGAUAGCUGUUCUGAGAGGAAGAUCAGCCACACUGGGACUGAGACACGGCCCAGACUCCUACGGGAGGCAGCAGUGGGGAAUAUUGGACAAUGGGCGAAAGCCUGAUCCAGUAAUGCCGCGUGAGUGAAGAAGGCC